RNAcentral lists this transfer RNA (59 nucleotides) under Fukomys damarensis (Damara mole-rat). It matches the Rfam family "tRNA", at positions 7 to 64 of the family's 71-position model. Rfam says of the family: Transfer RNA (tRNA) molecules are approximately 80 nucleotides in length. Their secondary structure includes four short double-helical elements and three loops (D, anti-codon, and T loops). Lineage: Eukaryota; Metazoa; Chordata; Mammalia; Rodentia; Bathyergidae. The record is from Rfam by way of RNAcentral.
GUAGCUCAAUGGUAGAGUGCUUGUUUAUCAUGCAUGAGGCCCUGGGUUCAGUCCCCAGC